This is a long non-coding RNA of Tupaia belangeri chinensis (Chinese tree shrew), 1706 nucleotides long. RefSeq lists it as uncharacterized. The transcript has 3 exons. Lineage: Eukaryota; Metazoa; Chordata; Mammalia; Scandentia; Tupaiidae. The record is from RefSeq and is a predicted model, not a curated record.
AAAUGGAAAGCUACCCAUCAGCCAGCUACAACCGAUUAUAAAGGCUGGCUCUUUCACCUUCCCUGGUCAACUGAUCACUGAAGUCUUGAUGUCCUCCUGGCAUCUGGAAGACUGGAGUAAGACAGCUUAUUUCACUCUGGACUUCUUUUCUCUGAGAUAUAUUUAAAUAUCAACACGUGAGCUCUCCUUUGCUUCCCUUCACCAGAAGAGUUGAACUCAAGCCACUGUCUUUUCCACAUUAGUUGCCCCAUAAAAGCAGGUUCCCCAAGAUCAGCGAAGACUCUUGAUUUGCAAUUCAACAGCCUAUGAAGAAAGCAGUAACCUUGGCCAUCAGAACCUUAUUAAGCAAGAAAAAAACUACGAUUCUUUUCUACAGACUAGGAAAGGGCUAAGUAUGAGCUGCAUUUUCAAUCUGCAGAUAUUCCAGCAAAGAACAAGCAUCAGAAACCCAAGCCUCGGGAAAAAGUUCCAGUUGAGAUUCUGAUACUACCACAAAGCCAUGUGUGACUCUUCCUCCAGAGCUGAGCCAGGCAUCCUCGGCUGUCAGCUGACCCCCACAUUUACUCCUGAGGGACCUUGGUCUUCUCUCCAUGUAGAGGAUGGAGUCAUUCAUCACCUUUAAUCUCUGCCUGGUAGGACACAGGAGACACACAGGCGUGUCCAGGGUUCUUCCUACUACACAGUAGCAAUCUCACUUCCCUUUGGCAAUCAGGACACUCACCCCCACCCCCAGACAAUUCUGUGUCCCCCUUCUGCUGUCUGAUGGGACACAAUGGCUGAGUCAAGCUCUGCAGUCAGACUAGUUAGGUUCAUGCUGGUUUUGUUUCUUGUAUUCUUGUUUCUUCAUGUGCAGAAUGAGAGUUGUCACAGAGCUGAUUGCACAAAAUCUUGAGGAGGAUUAAGUGAGAUUAUCCAUAUAAAACAUAUCAUAGGCAGAACAGGACAGGUACUCAUUAAAGAUUACUCAUCAUUAUCAUUAGACACUAAGUCUUCAGACCAAUAGAGCUCUCAUUUUAAGGAUAGCAUCUAAAAGACAAUAGCCCCAAACCAAUCUGUAAUGCCCUAUCAUUUUCUAAAUAGUUAAAUAAUCCACUUACCCUUAAGUAAUUUGCACAUCAUAUAACCUGCUAGGCUAUAUUUAUUCAGUCAAGUGUAAAUCAUGCAAACCACUUGGUCCAAUCCCAAAAUCCCAUCCCAGUCAGCACAAGGCUGUCAGAGCUGGGAGCUAUUCUAAUGCUUAAAAAAGUAAGCAAAAAUGUAAGAAAAGCAGCUAUUUAUUCAAGCCUUUUAACAAAAUACAUUCAAACCCCUUUUUAAACAAUCAAGAAUUACAGUCUAACUGUCCAGGAAUGGGACAAAGUCAUAACAUGCCACUUCAAGAGUGUCUAACCUAGACUGAUAAUUCACUUCCAGGCUUUCAAGCGAAUGUGGCUGCCUCUCCUGUGCAAGAAGUUAAAGGACAAUAGUCAUCUCUAAUCUGAGUAAACUCAAAGCUGUUAAGGCGAUCUGUGGAACAGGGAACAGUACUCUGAUUCCUGAUUCACACUCCCUGAACAAGCCUCACUGCAGACAAGUAGAAGCAGGGGAGAAGGACUAUCUUUUAUUUAACAGAAUAUCUUUCAAGAAGUGUUCAAUUUGGUGUAAUUACCUUUUUGCAAUCCACUGUCUUUCUCCUGAUUAAUAAUUUGGUGCCGUUCCAAACUUCU